This 301-nucleotide ribosomal RNA is filed under the name uncultured bacterium. RNAcentral's name for it is "partial 16S ribosomal RNA". It matches the Rfam family "Bacterial small subunit ribosomal RNA", at positions 509 to 808 of the family's 1533-position model. The record is from RNAcentral.
CAGUAGCCGCGGGAAUACAGAGGGUGCGAGCGUUAAUCGGAUUUACUGGGCGUAAAGCGUGCGUAGGCGGCUUUUAAGUCGGAUGUGAAAUCCCUGAGCUUAACUUAGGAAUUGCAUUCGAUACUGGGAAGCUAGAGUAUGGGAGAGGAUGGUAGAAUUCCAGGUGUAGCGGUGAAAUGCGUAGAGAUCUGGAGGAAUACCAAUGGCGAAGGCAGCCAUCUGGCCUAAUACUGACGCUGAGGUACGAAAGCAUGGGGAGCAAACAGGAUUAGAUACCCCCGUAGUCCCUGUCUCUUAUACA